AGGACGAACGCUGGCGGCGUGCUUAACACAUGCAAGUCGAGCGGAAAGGCCCUUCGGGGUACUCGAGCGGCGAACGGGUGAGUAACACGUGAGCAACCUGCCCCUGGCUCUGGGAUAGCCUCCGGAAACGGGGAUUAAUACCGGACAUUCACUGCCUGCCGCAUGGUGGGUGGUGGAAAGUUUUUCGGCCAGGGAGGGGCUCGCGGUCUAUCAGCUUGUUGGCGGGGUAACGGCCCACCAAGGCGACGACGGAUAGCCGGCCUGAGAGGGCGAUCGGCCACACUGGGACUGAGACACGGCCCAGACUCCUACGGGAGGCAGCAGUGGGGAAUAUUGCACAAUGGGCGCAAGCCUGAUGCAGCGACGCCGCGUGGGGAUGAAGGCCUUCGGGUUGUAACCCCUUUCACCAGGAGCGAAUUCAGACGGUACCGUGGGAAGAAGCGCCGGCUAACUACGCGCCAGCAGCCGC
This 469-nucleotide ribosomal RNA is filed under the name uncultured bacterium. Its description in RNAcentral is "SSU rRNA". It matches the Rfam family "Bacterial small subunit ribosomal RNA", at positions 26 to 518 of the family's 1533-position model. The record is from RNAcentral.